UGCCAGCAGCCGCGGUAAUACGGAGGGGGUUAGCGUUGUUCGGAAUUACUGGGCGUAAAGCGCACGUAGGCGGAUUAGUAAGUUAGGGGUGAAAUCCCGGGGCUCAACCCCGGAACUGCCUUCAAUACUGUCAGUCUUGAGAUCGGAAGAGGUGAGUGGAAUUCCUAGUGUAGAGGUGAAAUUCGUAGAUAUUAGGAAGAACACCAGUGGCGAAGGCGGCUUUCUGGACCGAUACUGACGCUGAGACGCGAAAGCGUGGGGAGCAAACAGGAUUAGAUA
RNAcentral lists this ribosomal RNA (279 nucleotides) under uncultured bacterium. RNAcentral's name for it is "partial 16S ribosomal RNA". It matches the Rfam family "Bacterial small subunit ribosomal RNA", at positions 506 to 784 of the family's 1533-position model. The record is from RNAcentral.